UUCAUGCUUUUUUUUGUUUGUUGAUGUUUUAAAUAAUUUAAACCAUUAGAGCAUACAGACUUCAUCUGAUAUUAGUGGAUUAUUGUUUCACAUUUUCUAAUUCAUGUCUAUAUUGUAAGUUGUAAAUUGUUUGCCUUCCCUCGUUUUCAUUCUCAUGCUGAUUAGUUCGUUGCACAGGUGUUCCUCUCAAUGUCUUCAUAUGCUCUUAUUAAUAUUUUUCAUGCAGGGUGUUUACUAACUCUUGCUUUUAAAAUGUCAGGAAAUGAAGCCCUUCCUCUAUAUUGCUUGGCGGGAGCUUUGACGUUGAGCGUGAUCCUAAAUAUUGUCCUCGCUCUGAAGAGGAGAAAAGGCUGUGAGAAUUGCAAAGGAGCUGCAUCAAACAACCAGGAGAGCGUUGAAGACAUGGCGAGCAAACAGAGUCAAGAUGAAGCAAUGAAUUACGCUGCUUUGACUUUCACCACCAAGAAACCCAAAGUGAGGAGGAACAAGAGGGAAGUGGAGAAAGAAACGGUUUACUCCGAUACGAGAUUUAGAGACCGCGAGUGAAGCUUUCCGUAGAAAUGUAUCUUUGUCAUAAGAAUGAUCAAACUGUUCCCUCACUAGAGUUGGUGAUCAUUAUGCCAUGUGUCUGUAAAUGAUGUCACAUUUACUGGAUUUGCCAAGAGCUGUGCUUGUUCUUAUAUUUUUGCUGUUUUUCAAAUACACAAAGUAAAACUUGUACAGUAUACUCCCUGA
Anguilla rostrata (American eel) is the source of this 735-nucleotide long non-coding RNA. RefSeq lists it as uncharacterized. The transcript is spliced from 3 exons. The record is from RefSeq and is a predicted model, not a curated record. Lineage: Eukaryota; Metazoa; Chordata; Actinopteri; Anguilliformes; Anguillidae.